This 72-nucleotide transfer RNA is filed under the name Bicyclus anynana (squinting bush brown). Its description in RNAcentral is "misc RNA ENSINYG00000026459.1". It matches the Rfam family "tRNA". From Rfam's summary of the family: Transfer RNA (tRNA) molecules are approximately 80 nucleotides in length. Their secondary structure includes four short double-helical elements and three loops (D, anti-codon, and T loops). Further hydrogen bonds mediate the characteristic L-shaped molecular structure. tRNAs have two regions of fundamental functional importance: the anti-codon, which is responsible for specific mRNA codon recognition, and the 3' end, to which the tRNAs corresponding amino acid is attached (by aminoacyl-tRNA synthetases). tRNAs cope with the degeneracy of the genetic code in two manners: having more than one tRNA (with a specific anti-codon) for a particular amino acid; and 'wobble' base-pairing, i.e. permitting non-standard base-pairing at the 3rd anti-codon position. The record is from Rfam by way of RNAcentral. Lineage: Eukaryota; Metazoa; Arthropoda; Insecta; Lepidoptera; Nymphalidae. RNAcentral also lists the same sequence under 2 other names.
UCCGGUAUGGUCUAGUGGCUAGGAUACUUGGCUCUCACCCAAGAGGCUCGGGUUCGAUUCCCGGUACCGGAA